This 224-nucleotide long non-coding RNA is filed under the name Mytilus galloprovincialis (Mediterranean mussel). Lineage: Eukaryota; Metazoa; Mollusca; Bivalvia; Mytilida; Mytilidae. The record is from RNAcentral.
CUAUAGUUACUGAAGUUGAUAUUUGCUACUUUUCUUCUUUAUUUAAUUCAUAUAAUUUUUGAUUUUUUUCUUCGAAAAAUUUGUGGUGUUGAAAUAGGGAAUAGACACAGAUACCUAAGCACAUUUAACAAAAGAAAUUUUGUGUAAUGUCAUCAAUCUGUAUUACACGUAGACAGGAUGUUCUCUAGAAAACUUUACGUUUAUACACACCGGAGAGUACACGC